Aotus nancymaae (Ma's night monkey) is the source of this 135-nucleotide small nuclear RNA. Its record names the gene U1. It matches the Rfam family "U1 spliceosomal RNA". Rfam says of the family: U1 is a small nuclear RNA (snRNA) component of the spliceosome (involved in pre-mRNA splicing). Its 5' end forms complementary base pairs with the 5' splice junction, thus defining the 5' donor site of an intron. The record is from Ensembl. Lineage: Eukaryota; Metazoa; Chordata; Mammalia; Primates; Aotidae.
AUACUUACCUGGUUUUCCCAGGGUGAGGCUUAUCCAUUGCACUCCGGAUGUGUUGACCCCUGUGAUUUCCCCAAAUGUGGGAAACUCAACUGCAUAAUUUGUGGUAGUGGGGGACUGCAUUUGUGCUUUCCCCUG